This 468-nucleotide ribosomal RNA is filed under the name uncultured bacterium. RNAcentral describes it as "partial 16S ribosomal RNA". It matches the Rfam family "Bacterial small subunit ribosomal RNA", at positions 28 to 507 of the family's 1533-position model. The record is from RNAcentral.
GACGAACGCUGGCGGCGUGCUUAACACAUGCAAGUCGAACGGAAAGGCCCUGCUUUUGUGUGGUGCUCGAGUGGCGAACGGGUGAGUAACACGUGAGUAACCUUCCCUGGACUUUGGGAUAACUUCAGGAAACUGGGGCUAAUACCGGAUAGGAGCUCCUGCUGCAUGGUGGGGGUUGGAAAGUUUAGGCGGUUGGGGAUGGACUCGCGGCUUAUCAGCUUGUGGGUGGGGUAGUGGCUUACCAAGGCUUUGACGGGUAGCCGGCCUGGGAGGGUGACCGGGCACAUUGGGCCUAAGAUACGGCCCAGACUCCUACGGGAGGCAGCAGUGGGGAAUAUUGCACAAUGGGCGGAAGCCUGAUGCAGCAGCGCCGCGUGCGGGAUGACGGCCUUCGGGUUGUAAACCGCUUUCGCCUGUGACGAAGCGUGAGUGACGGUAAUGGGUAAAGAAGCACCGGCUAACUACGUG